AGCCAAUCAGGAUGGUUUCAAUCCUGGAGCCAUCUAAGGAUAGUUUUUUCCCGGUAAUGACCAAGAUAGUGGGAACUUUAGGUCCAAGGUCUCGAUCUGUUGAUGUUAUUUCUGGUUGUCUUAAAGCUGGAAUGUCUGUGGCUAGGUUCGAUUUCUCGUGGCAUGAUCCGAAGUGUCAUCAGGAAACUUUAGAAAAUUUAAAGGCCGCCGUUAAGCUAACUAAAAAGCUUUGUGCCGU
Hibiscus syriacus is the source of this 238-nucleotide long non-coding RNA. RefSeq lists it as uncharacterized. The record is from RefSeq and is a predicted model, not a curated record. Lineage: Eukaryota; Viridiplantae; Streptophyta; Magnoliopsida; Malvales; Malvaceae. The transcript is spliced from 3 exons.